This 274-nucleotide ribosomal RNA is filed under the name uncultured bacterium. RNAcentral describes it as "partial 16S ribosomal RNA". It matches the Rfam family "Bacterial small subunit ribosomal RNA", at positions 523 to 796 of the family's 1533-position model. The record is from RNAcentral.
AUACGGAGGGUGCAAGCGUUAUACGGAAUCACUGGGCGUAAAGGACGCGUAGGCGGGUUGGCAAGUCAGAUGUGAAAUCCUACAGCUUAACUGUAGAACUGCAUUUGAAACUGCUAACCUAGAGUAUGGGAGGGGGAGAUGGAAUUAGUGGUGUAGGGGUAAAAUCCGUAGAUAUCACUAGGAAUACCGAAAGCGAAGGCGAUCUCCUGGAACAUAACUGACGCUAAGGCGUGAAAGCGUGGGGAGCAAACAGGAUUAGAAACCCUAGUAGUCC